AUACGGAGGGUGCAAGCGUUAAUCGGAAUUACUGGGCGUAAAGCGUACGUAGGCGGUCCGUUAAGUUAGAUGUGAAAGCCCCGGGCUUAACCUGGGAACUGCAUUUAAAACUGGCGGACUGGAGUUGAGUAGAGGGGAGUGGAAUUUCAGGUGUAGCGGUGAAAUGCGUAGAGAUCUGAAGGAACACCAGUGGCGAAGGCGACUCCCUGGACUCGAACUGACGCUGAGGUACGAAAGCGUGGGUAGCAAACGGGAUUAGAAACCCGAGUAGUCC
RNAcentral lists this ribosomal RNA (274 nucleotides) under uncultured bacterium. Its description in RNAcentral is "partial 16S ribosomal RNA". It matches the Rfam family "Bacterial small subunit ribosomal RNA", at positions 523 to 796 of the family's 1533-position model. The record is from RNAcentral.